RNAcentral lists this small nuclear RNA (300 nucleotides) under Erinaceus europaeus (western European hedgehog). RNAcentral's name for it is "7SK RNA (ENSEEUG00000019711.1)". It matches the Rfam family "7SK RNA". From Rfam's summary of the family: 7SK was discovered as an abundant small nuclear RNA in the mid-70s but a possible function has only recently been suggested. Two independent studies have found that 7SK RNA binds the CDK9/cyclin T complex (known as elongation factor P-TEFb). P-TEFb activates transcription by phosphorylating the C-terminal domain of RNA polymerase II. Lineage: Eukaryota; Metazoa; Chordata; Mammalia; Eulipotyphla; Erinaceidae. The record is from RNAcentral.
GGGGGUGAGGGUGACUGGUCCCUUCAUUAAUCACAAAGGUUGAUUCAGUUGACUUGGUUGGAUAGGCAGGUGUCUUCCUCCUUCACUGCUCCAUGUGUGUCCCUCCUGAAGAUGUAUGCUCAGUCAAAAUGGACAACCUCCCCCAAAUAGAGAUGGAAAGGUCUGUUUUCGCUGAAGUAGUUAUGCUCCUCUUCUAGAACCUCCAAACAAGCUUUCAAAAACAAUGGGGACACCAAAGAACAAGAUUUUAGAGAAAAUGGGAAUAAGGAAUAGAUGACCAUGUGUGUUAUGUUUGCAUUC